GAUGAACGCUGGCGGCGUGCCUAAUACAUGCAAGUAGAACGCUGAAGGGAGGAGCUUGCUCUUUCCGGAUGAGUUGCGAACGGGUGAGUAACGCGUAGGUAACCUGCCUGGUAGCGGGGGAUAACUAUUGGAAACGAUAGCUAAUACCGCAUAACAGUAGAUGUUGCAUGAUAUCUACUUAAAAGGUGCAAUUGCACCACUACCAGAUGGACCUGCGUUGUAUUAGCUAGUUGGUGAGGUAACGGCUCACCAGGGCGACGAUACAUAGCCGACCUGAGAGGGUGAUCGGCCACACUGGGACUGAGACACGGCCCAGACUCCUACGGGAGGCAGCAGUAGGGAAUCUUCGGCAAUGGACGGAAGUCUGACCGAGCAACGCCGCGUGAGUGAAGAAUGGUUUCGGAUCGUAAAGCUCUGUUGUAAGAGAAGAACGAGUGUGAGAGUGGAAAGUUCACACUGUGACGGUAUCUUACCAGAAAGGGACGGCUAACUACGUG
RNAcentral lists this ribosomal RNA (497 nucleotides) under uncultured bacterium. RNAcentral's name for it is "partial 16S ribosomal RNA". It matches the Rfam family "Bacterial small subunit ribosomal RNA", at positions 28 to 507 of the family's 1533-position model. The record is from RNAcentral.